Long non-coding RNA from Gasterosteus aculeatus aculeatus (three-spined stickleback), 1450 nucleotides. Lineage: Eukaryota; Metazoa; Chordata; Actinopteri; Perciformes; Gasterosteidae. The record is from Ensembl.
GAGAUGAAGCCACACACACACACAUACAACCUAAUAAUCGUCUGCUAUGGGGCCGCGAGCAGAGGGCACAGCGAGCUCCGGCACCCCCCCGCUCGGACCUUCUUACGCAACCAGACUCUUCCUGAGGCUCGGGCCUGCUGCUCGCCGGUCACGUCCACAUGCAGCUGGCGUGCUCAGGAGGACCUGACACUGCACGGGGUGCCACAAAAAGACACGACCAGCAGAGCGCGGCGAACGAAUGUGGGAAACUAACUGGAAACAGCUAGACUGCUUUCCCAGGAUCAACGCCGCGUCCACGGGGGAAGAGCGUGACAUCAAUGUGAGGUCCGCUAAUCCGUCCCGGUGAGCUCCCUCGCCCGCUCGGAGCUGCUGACCCGCGUGGAAUAUGCGGCCUGAAAGCGGAUGUGAUCUAAUCACAUUACCGCUCGGCCCUCGGGCCUCUAAACGAAUCACAGAUCCGCCACCGACGGGACAGCGUGUGCGCCGCCGUGAUCGAAUCAGAGCCUCUCGAAUCCAAGUCGGGAGAACAACAGGUUGGGCCCACGCCCUCCCCGGGCCGCAGAGACGAUCCUUGCAGAAACACGGGGAGCUCUCGUGCAAACGUUUGAGUCGGUCUCAUGAUUCCACGGAACAACUGCAUCUGACUCACAAGACCCAUGACUCAAAGCUCUGCUCUCCUGCAGCCCACCGGGACGCGGGGGCCUGGAUGUUGGGACACAAGAUGUGUGUGUGUGUGUGUGUGUGUGUGUGUGCUGAAUCGCACAAGGAUUAUCACAUGACUCAGGGUUCACAUGAGCACAGUCCUGUUGUCAAGGCGAGGAGAGAGGGAAGGAGACGGAGAUAAGGAGACAUUUCACUAAAGGCCUCACAUCAGCAUCAUGUUCAGGGUCACGAUUGUAUUUUGGGGUUUCUACUAGAACUCUUUACAUGCUUUAAUGUCCAAAAGUCCCUUUAUUUGUCUCAUACUGAAUAAACCUGCAUUCGCCCAGUGACUGAAACGCUCCGUUUUAGCGCCUGUCUCUUCAGGAGCUCAGUGAGCUCUGAGCGGCAGGUGUCAAAAAUACAGAGCACCUCUGCAAAGGUGGUGGGCCACGUCUUCUCAUGAGUCUGCCUGUGAUGUUACAGGGGUCUUCUAAACCGCACAGCCCAAAAUAUGCCAUGUCCCCUUUAACCGAUUAAAGCGUGGUGUUAUGCCCCACUGCCGUCUAACCACAGGAGUUGGUUUAUUUCAUGGUUCAUUUGUAAACUCAACUCCAGCGCUGUUUGUGAGCAUCAGAGCAGCGCGGAAAUGUGUUCAAAUGAGAUGAGAGACGCCGUCCACAAGCGCGUGAACGCGAUCCAUGAGGAGGUUUUAGUAAUAAGUCGGCUUGAAGCCCUCUGCGACCUCACAUACAUUUGCUAAUGUUCCCAGUUGCUUGACCUCAUAAAUGUCUCCGCUAAGUGCCGGCCC